GAAAUAUGUUAAUCAAGAGUAAGCUUCUAACUUCACUCUUUAGUGGUGAAAAUCCAUUAAUGUUUCU
This 67-nucleotide transfer RNA is filed under the name Sinodendron rugosum. Its description in RNAcentral is "tRNA-Ser". Lineage: Eukaryota; Metazoa; Arthropoda; Insecta; Coleoptera; Lucanidae. The record is from RNAcentral.